Molecule: long non-coding RNA, 323 nt
Filed under: Mustela putorius furo (domestic ferret)
Lineage: Eukaryota; Metazoa; Chordata; Mammalia; Carnivora; Mustelidae
Description: lncRNA (ENSMPUG00000031760.1)
Source: RNAcentral
GCCCCCAAUCCUGAGAACCCAUGGAGAGUAACGCACGGUGCUAACAGCCAUUGUUUCUUCAUUGCAGGCCCUAGGUUCCAUAUCCCGUAGUACCAGCUCCAUUUUACACAUGAAGAAAUGGAAGUUCAGAGAGACAAAGUGACUUGCUCAAUGUCACACAGCUGCAGGUGCUGUGGCCCCACACUGGCUGGACACUGCAGAGGUCACCAAAAUGAACAACACAUGGUCCCUGCCCUUGGAGUGUUCUCAGCUCAUUCUGGGAGGUGAGCAGAUUGGCAUUUCGGUGGGAAUUAUAAGCCAAGGCAAGGCAUACAGCUCUAUGG